Molecule: ribosomal RNA, 305 nt
Filed under: uncultured bacterium
Lineage: Bacteria
Description: bacterial SSU rRNA
Rfam family: Bacterial small subunit ribosomal RNA
Source: RNAcentral
UCCUACGGGGGGCAGCAGUGGGGAAUAUUGCACAAUGGGGGAAACCCUGACGCAGUGACGCCGCGUGCAGGAAGAAGGUUUUCGGAUUGUAAACUGCUUUAGACAGGGAAGAAACAAGACAGUACCUGUAGAAUAAGCUCCGGCUAACUACGUGCCAGCAGCCGCAGUAAUACGUAGGGGGCAAGCGUUAUCCGGAUUUACUGGGUGUAAAGGGAGCGUAGACGGCGUGCCAAGUCUGAUGUGAAAGGCCGGGGCUCAACCCCGGGACUGCAUUGGAAACUGGCAUGCUGGAGUGCCGGAGGGGG